CAGGUCCCUGGGCGCUGCCGAGAGGCUGGGAGCCCGGGAACCGGUUCCCGGACUUGAACGGACCGAGAAAGAGCGCGCCGCCUGCACAAAUGGACUGGAGCGGCCGGGUGCCCUGGAGGCCCCUGGGAAUUGCAUUCCUUGCGCAUGUGGAGAGUGAGCCCCUAUGAGAAAACUCAAGACUCAGAAACAAUAAAGGUUACAGAGAUGAAAUUGACAGAGCCUGAAUUUCAGGUUAUGAUUCUGUAUGGUUUCUUUGGUGCUGCAUUAGACCUGAGCUCUGAUUGAAAAUUCUUCCACGCUCGCUACAUUCCAAAACUUUAUCUCCAAUAUGAAUUUCCAGAUGCCUCACAAGGUCUGAGCUCCAUCUGAAGGCUUUCCCAUGCUUGUCACAUUCAUAGGGCUUUUCUCCACUAUGAAUUCUAUGAUGUCGAAUAAAGUGUGAGCUCUGA
Molecule: long non-coding RNA, 449 nt
Filed under: Pan troglodytes (chimpanzee)
Lineage: Eukaryota; Metazoa; Chordata; Mammalia; Primates; Hominidae
Description: long non-coding RNA NONPTRT006612
Source: RNAcentral